CAAUUUGUUCGACGGAUAAGUAUCCUAACGGGCUUUUUAGGUCGUCGACAUAUUUUUAAGAGGAGUGCUGUUAAUGGCCCGUAUCGCUGGCAUUAACAUUCCUGAG
This is a regulatory RNA element of 106 nucleotides. It matches the Rfam family "Alpha operon ribosome binding site". Rfam says of the family: The bacterial alpha operon ribosome binding site is surrounded by this complex pseudoknotted structure. Translation of the mRNA produces 4 ribosomal protein products, one of which (S4) acts as a translational repressor by binding to the nested pseudoknot region. The record is from Rfam.